Non-coding RNA from Glossina austeni, 195 nucleotides. The record is from Rfam. Lineage: Eukaryota; Metazoa; Arthropoda; Insecta; Diptera; Glossinidae.
AGGUCCCCCCAUCGGUAGCGUGCUAAUGACAACCAGCCUCCGCGAAGUAAUACCUAACAGUGAUCCCGCAGGGGAGAGGGGCAGAAGAAUUGUUUGGGGGGUAGUUUUUAGUAGUAAGCGCCAUAGAUGACGAAUCGUGCAUGCUGCUAGUAAGAACCAGCAGUGUAUUCUGAAGAUUUUCUACCUCCUGCUCGC